GCAUGCCUGUGCUGGACCUCUUGUGUCAUUGCCGUCGGUGGGGAGCCGUGUGGUGUACUUCCCUCAGGGCCACAGUGAGCAGGUCGCUGCAUCAACCAAUAAAGAAGUCGAUUCCCAUAUACCCAAUUACCCAAGCCUAGCUCCACAGUUGAUAUGCCAGCUCCAUGAUGUGACUAUGCAUGCUGAUGUAGAGACUGAUGAAGUUUAUGCCCAAAUGACAUUACAACCAUUGAGCCCGCAAGAACAGAAAGAUUCAUAUAUACCUACCGAGUUGGGUACUCCCAGCAAACAACCAACCAACUAUUUCUGU
This 310-nucleotide unclassified non-coding RNA is filed under the name Hevea brasiliensis (rubber tree). The record is from RNAcentral. Lineage: Eukaryota; Viridiplantae; Streptophyta; Magnoliopsida; Malpighiales; Euphorbiaceae.